Molecule: ribosomal RNA, 423 nt
Filed under: uncultured Glomeraceae
Lineage: Eukaryota; Fungi; Glomeromycota; Glomeromycetes; Glomerales; Glomeraceae
Description: SSU rRNA
Rfam family: Eukaryotic small subunit ribosomal RNA
Source: RNAcentral
GGGAGGUAGUGACAAUAAAUAACAAUACGGGGCUCUUUUGGGUCUCGUAAUUGGAAUGAGUACAAUUUAAAUCUCUUAACGAGGAACAAUUGGAGGGCAAGUCUGGUGCCAGCAGCCGCGGUAAUUCCAGCUCCAAUAGCGUAUAUUAAAGUUGUUGCAGUUAAAAAGCUCGUAGUUGAAUUUCGGGAUCAGCAAGUUGGUCGUGCCACCGGUAUGCACUGGCUUUGCUGAUUCCUCCUUCUUAUAGAACCGUAAUGCCAUUAAGUUGGUGUUGCGGGAAAACAGGACUGUUACUUUGAAAAAAUUAGAGUGUUUAAAGCAGGCUAGCGCCUGAAUACAUUAGCAUGGAAUAAUGAAAUAGGACGUUCGAACCUAUUUUGUUGGUUUCUAGGAUUGACGUAAUGAUUAAUAGGGAUAGUUGGG